ACGAACGCUGGCGGCGUGCUUAACACAUGCAAGUCGAACGCGCCUGUCCUCUGGGUUUCUGGGGGGUGGGUGAGUGGCGAACGGGUGAGUAACACGUGAGUAACCUGCCCCCUUCUUCGGGAUAACGGUCUGAAAGGGCUGCUAAUACCGGGUAUUCACUGGUCUCCGCAUGGGGUCUGGUGGAAAGGUUUUUUUCUGGUGGGGGAUGGGCUCGCGGCCUAUCAGCUUGUUGGUGGGGUGAUGGCCCACCAAGGCUUUGACGGGUAGCCGGCCUGAGAGGGUGACCGGUCACAUUGGGACUGAGAUACGGCCCAGACUCCUACGGGAGGCAGCAGUGGGGAAGAUUGCACAAUGGGCGCAAGCCUGAUGCAGCGACGCCGCGUGAGGGAUGGAGGCCUUCGGGUUGUGAACCUCUUUCGCCCGUGGUCAAGCCGCGACGUGGGUCGUGGUGAGGGUAGUGGGUAAAGAAGCGCCGGCUAACUACGUG
Molecule: ribosomal RNA, 487 nt
Filed under: uncultured bacterium
Lineage: Bacteria
Description: partial 16S ribosomal RNA
Rfam family: Bacterial small subunit ribosomal RNA
Source: RNAcentral